CAUUUUAUCAUCUCAAUCAAUUGUAUAUUUAUCCUUACUAUUUAUAAAGCCCUUUACUAAGUCGAUGUCACCUGCCCCGUUCUUCUACCCGUUUUAGAAGCACUUUUAGGGAAAAAAGUCCUUUUUCUUGAAAAGGAACAAAGAACAGACUCCUUUUCUUCAAAAAAUUUCACCGUUAGAAAAUCACUUUUCUCCAGAUGAGAAGCUAAAAAUUUCUCCUUUUCUUCAGCUUGGAGUGCUUUUGGCUGGAAAUUUACCAAAUUAACCUGUCUCUUCUCCCACAAACGUUAUUUCCCCUCCUCUGCUGGUUCUUUGGAACUGUCUUCUCCCACAAACUUGCUUUUGGCUGAAAAGAACAAAAAUUUGAUUUCUCAUUCAGGAUAGCUGCUACUGCUUUGAGGCAACACUCUAAUUCUUAAAAGCUUUAAAGGCACCCAGGAGAAGCCGAUAUUCCUAAACUAGCAAAAGUAGAAGUUGAUCAUCUCUUUUUCUCUUGUUUAAAACAAAGCAGUCACUCUCUUUCAAGAAUAAGGGGAUAUUAUUUGUUGCAAUUGAUCAAAAUAGGCCUCUUUCAGACCAGGGUCCUUUUGAUAUUGUAUUGCACAAGAAGUGGCUGUUCCUUUGAUCCUAGGGGUACUGCAUGUUUGAUUAGGCCUCAAUAGCUUUGCCAAUCCAAAAUCUGAAAUCUUUGCAGUCAAUGAAUCAUCCAAGAGUAUGUUAUGUGGCUUGAGGUUGCAACGGAUGAUACACCCCUCACACUCUUCAUGUAAAUAAAGGAUACCUUUAGCUACGUCCAAUGCAAUUCGGGCUCUCUCUUUCCACACUGGGCGUUUAUUCAUGUUGAACAGAAAGUUUGCCAGUGAGCCAUUGCCCAAGUAUUCAUAAAUGUGGAGCUUCCUUGAACCUUCCACCCAAAAACCAAGCAAUCGGACCAAGUUCCUGUGAUUAGUUCUUCCAAUGACUGUCAUCUCGGUUCGAAUCUGAUCUGUUUCUCUUGUACUUUUUUACAUCAUGGUAUAUACAAGUUUUAUUACUAUCGGUCUGAUUCUGUUUAAAGAUUUUAGUUGAACCUUUAAAUGAAAUGCAAUACACACUAAACUGUUCAAUUGAAA
Molecule: long non-coding RNA, 1112 nt
Organism: Gossypium raimondii (Peruvian cotton)
Lineage: Eukaryota; Viridiplantae; Streptophyta; Magnoliopsida; Malvales; Malvaceae
Exons: 4
Source: RefSeq, a predicted model, not a curated record